Non-coding RNA from Zootoca vivipara (common lizard), 513 nucleotides. The record is from RefSeq and is a predicted model, not a curated record. NCBI's taxonomy places the organism in Eukaryota, Metazoa, Chordata, Lepidosauria, Squamata, Lacertidae.
CCUGGAACAAAUGGAGUUUGUUUGUAUCAGUGAAACACUGGAAUAGGCGGUCUGAGGAUUACAACGCCAGCCUCCUGCUCCUCGGGGAGAAAUUUCCAAAGGCAAAAACGGAACUUCAUUGCCAUUAAAAACCAAUGCGAGCGAGGCAGCAAUUCAGCCUUUGAAAAGCAACGACUCUCAUACAACCCUGCCCUCCGCCCACCAGAACCAACAGCCUCUCUAAUCCUGCUUGUUUGUGUGCACUCUGCACUUGUGAUCCUUCCUGGUGUGACUUGAAUUUCAAAUAUGGAGCUUUAUAUUUGCCUGGUCUGCUUGUGUGUGCACCUGCCUAGUUGCUGUUGCUAUCUGUGCCAUUUUAACCCCGUGACCUGGGGCCUUGGAGGAAAUCUGGAUCCUAAUUUAAUUGGAAACAACUGGGGAAAGUCUUUUAUGGAGAGCACUGGAAGGAAGGGUGGUAUUAAAGCAUGGUACUGUAUCUACGGUAGGACCAAUGAGCAGCACAAUGUUCACUGA